AGCGUUGUUCGGAUUCAUUGGGCGUAAAGGGUGCGUAGGCGGCGCGGUAAGUCGGGUGUGAAAUCUCGGAGCUUAACUCCGAAACUGCAUUCGAUACUGCUUCGCUUGAGUACUGGAGAGGAGGCUGGAAUUUACGGUGUAGCAGUGAAAUGCGUAGAUAUCGUAAGGAAGGCCGGUGGCGAAAGCGAGCCUCUGGACAGUUACUGACGCUGAUGCACGAAGGCCAGGGGAGCAAACGGG
RNAcentral lists this ribosomal RNA (240 nucleotides) under uncultured bacterium. RNAcentral's name for it is "partial 16S ribosomal RNA". It matches the Rfam family "Bacterial small subunit ribosomal RNA", at positions 537 to 776 of the family's 1533-position model. The record is from RNAcentral.